UCCGGCCGAACCGGACCGGCACGGGUGGAGUAACAACGUAUGCAACCUACGCCCGUCUCAGGGGGAUAAUCGUCGGAAACGGCGUCUAAUACCCCGUAUGAAGCUGGACGGCAUCGUCUGGUUUUGAAAGAAUAUCGGAGACGGAUGGGCAUGCGGCGCAUUAGCUAGUUGGCGGGGUAACGGCCCACCAAGGCGACGAUGUCUAGGGGUUCUGAGAGGAAGGUCCCCCACACUGGUACUGAGACACGGACCAGACUCCUACGGGAGGCAGCAG
This 274-nucleotide ribosomal RNA is filed under the name uncultured bacterium. RNAcentral's name for it is "partial 16S ribosomal RNA". It matches the Rfam family "Bacterial small subunit ribosomal RNA", at positions 80 to 354 of the family's 1533-position model. The record is from RNAcentral.